AUCGUGUCCCAUCAGCAGAGGCCGGGCAGGGUGCUGCAUAGCCUAGCUACUCCGCCACCUUCGGUGCAAGGUGCAACGAAAAGCAGAGAAGGGCCAAGGAGGAAGAGGCAACAGAAUUUUUCGAACAGAAAACAAGAAAAACGAAAGAAAAAGACUGGAAAGAAUGAUGGCAAAAGGAGCAAAAAGCUGGAGAUGUUUUCCAAAGGAUAAGGGAAGGCAUCAAUAUACUUGUUUUGCUAUAAGGUUUGGAGAAGAAAAGAAAAAGAAAAUCGAUAGGAAACAGCA
Molecule: long non-coding RNA, 285 nt
Organism: Hemicordylus capensis (graceful crag lizard)
Lineage: Eukaryota; Metazoa; Chordata; Lepidosauria; Squamata; Cordylidae
Exons: 2
Source: RefSeq, a predicted model, not a curated record